Brassica napus (rape) is the source of this 117-nucleotide non-coding RNA. The record is from Rfam. NCBI's taxonomy places the organism in Eukaryota, Viridiplantae, Streptophyta, Magnoliopsida, Brassicales, Brassicaceae.
AAAUGCAUUACAGGGCAAGAUCUCCUUUGGCAGGAAACUAUUACUCCAUUCUUGCAUAUGCAUUUAUGUUUGUGGUAUAAACUCUCUGCCAAAGGAGAUUUGCCCGGUAAUUCUUUC